Molecule: ribosomal RNA, 257 nt
Filed under: uncultured bacterium
Lineage: Bacteria
Description: partial 16S ribosomal RNA
Rfam family: Bacterial small subunit ribosomal RNA
Source: RNAcentral
UACGUAGGGUGCAAGCGUUAAUCGGAAUUACUGGGCGUAAAGCGUGCGCAGGCGGCUAUGCAAGACAGAUGUGAAAUCCCCGGGCUCAACCUGGGAACUGCAUUUGUGACUGCAUAGCUAGAGUACGGUAGAGGCGAGUGGAAUUCCUGGUGUAGCGGUGAAAAUGCGUAGAGAUCGGGAGGAACACCCGUGGCGAAGGCGGCCAUCUGGACCAGUACUGACGCUGAGGCACGAAAGCGUGGGGGAGCAAAACAGGG